GGCAGCUAUUUGAGAAGGAUGGCUAGACAGCCCAUUUACCAGUUGGCAAUAUGGGAGGAGCAGCAUGAAGUGAUUCUGAUGUCCACAAGUGCUCCACAGCAGGAGGUCAGAGGUAACACAAAGAGUUCUCUGCUAAGCAAGGACAUCUGUAAGAAGGUUCAUAAGGAGGAGCUGAGGUACUACAAACCUGAAAGUUGUCCAAGAUGGAGGCUCUGGCAAGACUCUUGUGGUGUAAACUGACUUCCAGAUGACUUGGCCACACUCACUGAGCUGUCUUGAUGCUGUUUUCCAAUUCAGCCCACUGAAACAGGGAUCACUGACAUCUGCUUGAGGUAGUGCCAGACCCCUCAAGUCCUACAUGUGGACACAAGUCCCACUUCUGUACUCCUCUUCACACCCACGUGCCAGGGCCUCGUUGUGACUGUGGGGCUGAGGGCUGCACUGCAGCUGGAAAAAGGUACCACUCAAAGACGGAUGCUACAGCAACUGCCACUCCCACUGUACACAGUUUGCCUGUGCCAUCUUCAUCACGUUGCCUGGCAUUCUCAUCACCUACCUUCAGUGCUUGAUUAAAUGCCUGCCCCCAUCCCUAAGCCCAGUGCAUGUUUCCUGCACAUCAGGAUUUUGCUAACUCCAGGCGUCUGUUGCGCUGUACUGCCAGAUCUGCAUCUUCUUUUAGAUUAUGUGGGUUUGGACUGUCAAUCACUUGCUGACAAAUAAAUCAGUUUGUGGAGCCAAGUGGUUUUGUAAAAUGCUUUCUGAAUCAUAUCAACCAGAUGUCUUUACAACGCCGCAUUUGUGACCAAGACGACAAAAGUAAGGGAUUUUCAAACUAAAGAGUAUCUUUCUUUCUUAAAGAGUAUCUUUCUUUUUAAAGAGUAAAAAACUUUUUGAAAAGUUGGCUAGUUGUAUGAAGCAGUGGCAGGCAGCUGGGGUGGUGUUUGUGCAUCUGUAUGUACAUAAAUAUUCACUGCAGUGGAGAAACUCAAGCAUUGGUAUUUUCA
Molecule: long non-coding RNA, 1004 nt
Organism: Phasianus colchicus (ring-necked pheasant)
Lineage: Eukaryota; Metazoa; Chordata; Aves; Galliformes; Phasianidae
Source: RefSeq, a predicted model, not a curated record